AUUUAAUUUAACUCCACCUCGGUCUCAUCUGUAAAUACGUGUCCCCCGUGGGAUGUUGCCAACCUCACCCACGUUUCGCUCCUUGAGUUGCUCUGGGACCUGCCACCUGUCCUGACCCCUUUAUGACAUUGCCAGCCUUGGCCCAGCCUCUAGCACCUCACCCUUGCCAUGGCCAGCCCCAUCCAUCCUGAGAAGGGAGCCUUGGUACCAGCAGCAGUUGGGGUGGGUGAUGCAUCUGAAGCUGCACUGACACUGUGGCUGUGCCAAGCUGGGCCACAGUGUCCCCCUCCAGACGUCUCGGGAGUCAGACUCUACAUUCCCUCGGGACCCUGCUCUCCCUGAGCACCCAGAGAGCCAUAGCCAGGCUUGUGCCAGGGCCUGGCUGGGGCCUGACCUCAGCCUGGGCGCUCCGGAACUCUCCUCUCCCGGCUCUACUGCAAAACGUCUUCAGUGGUGUCUGCACUCGCCCUGAACCUCCUCGACCUCAGCUGCCCCAUCCUGCGCCCGCCCUGAGGGGCCGAGGCGGCAGUGCCUUACUGCUUCAUGUCUUCUGCCUCCUCUGAGGAAUCUGGCCCCAUCUCAUGGUCCUGGACCCCCAAGUCUCUCCUCUUUUGUUGCAUGAGCUUUUGUUUGUGUAAUGUUUUUUCCUAAUUAAACGCUGGGAAAGUGGA
Molecule: long non-coding RNA, 671 nt
Organism: Galeopterus variegatus (Sunda flying lemur)
Lineage: Eukaryota; Metazoa; Chordata; Mammalia; Dermoptera; Cynocephalidae
Exons: 2
Source: RefSeq, a predicted model, not a curated record